This 292-nucleotide ribosomal RNA is filed under the name uncultured bacterium. Its description in RNAcentral is "partial 16S ribosomal RNA". It matches the Rfam family "Archaeal small subunit ribosomal RNA", at positions 455 to 747 of the family's 1478-position model. The record is from RNAcentral.
GUGCCAGCAGCCGCGGUAAUACCGGCAGCUCAAGUGAUGUCCCAUAUUAUUGGGCCUAAAGCGUCCGUAGCUGGCCGAACAAGUCCGUCGGGAAAUCCACCUGCCCAACAGGUGGGCGUCCGGCGGAAACUGUGUGGCUUGGAACCGGAAGGCUCAGAGGGUACGUUCGGGGUAGGAGUGAAAUCCCAUAAUCCCGCACGGACCACCGAUGGCGAAAGCACUUCGAGAAAACGGAUCCGACAGUGAGGGACGAAAGCCAGGGUCUCCAACCGGAUUAGAAACCCGAGUGUCC